UGGGGAAUUUUGGACAAUGGGCGAAAGCCUGGUCCAGCAAUGCCGCGUGUGUGAAGAAGGCCUUCGGGUUGUAAAGCACUUUUGUCCGGAAAGAAAUCCUUGGCUCUAAUACAGUCGGGGGAUGACGGUACCGGAAGAAUAAGCACCGGCUAACUACGUGCCAGCAGCCGCGGUAAUACGUAGGGUGCAAGCGUUAAUCGGAAUUACUGGGCGUAAAGCGUGCGCAGGCGGUUUGCUAAGACCGAUGUGAAAUCCCCGGGCUCAACCUGGGAACUGCAUUGGUGACUGGCAGGCUAGAGUAUGGCAGAGGGGGGUAGAAUUCCACGUGUAGCAGUGAAAUGCGUAGGAGAUGUGGAGGAAUACCGAUGGCGAAGGCAGCCCCCUGGGCCAAAUACUGACGCUCAUGCACGAAAAGCGUGGGGGAGCAAACAGGAUUAGAUACCCUGGUAGUCCACGCCCUAAAACGAUGUCAACUAGUUGUUGGGGAUUCAUUUCCUUAGUAACGUACUAACGCGUGAAGUUGACCGCCUGGGGAGUACGGUCGC
RNAcentral lists this ribosomal RNA (545 nucleotides) under uncultured bacterium. RNAcentral describes it as "partial 16S ribosomal RNA". It matches the Rfam family "Bacterial small subunit ribosomal RNA", at positions 355 to 889 of the family's 1533-position model. The record is from RNAcentral.